UAGGGAAUAUUGGACAAUGGGGGCAACCCUGAUCCAGCCAUGCCGCGUGAGUGAAGAAGGCCCUCGGGUUGUAAAGCUCUUUUGUCCGGAAAGAAAAGCUUCGGGUUAAUACCCCGGGGUUCUGACGGUACCGGAAGAAUAAGCACCGGCUAACUUCGUGCCAGCAGCCGCGGUAAUACGAAGGGUGCAAGCGUUACUCGGAAUUACUGGGCGUAAAGCGUGCGUAGGUGGUUGUUUAAGUCUGAUGUGAAAGCCCUGGGCUCAACCUGGGAAUGGCAUUGGAAACUGGGCAGCUAGAGUGCGGUAGAGGGUAGUGGAAUUCCCGGUGUAGCAGUGAAAUGCGUAGAGAGCGGGAGGAACAUCUGUGGCGAAGGCGACUGCCUGGACCAGCACUGACACUGAGGCACGAAAGCGUGGGGAGCAAACA
Molecule: ribosomal RNA, 427 nt
Filed under: uncultured bacterium
Lineage: Bacteria
Description: bacterial SSU rRNA
Rfam family: Bacterial small subunit ribosomal RNA
Source: RNAcentral